GCUAGGGUUCCAGCUCGAGCGAAUCCCCCACAUUGUGAAAAUCACCCUACAAUAAUGUAGCAUAUAUUCUACCGCUCUACUUAUUCCCCUCAAAUUAAUCCUGUGUGCUUUCAAGGUAAAGUGCUUCUGCGCUUGAUGCUUAUACUGUGGCACAUGUGACUCAGUGAAGUUGAUAUGCUCUCAUAUAUACAUCUUCAUCUGUCCCUUUUAUCAGUGAAUAACUCCAAUCAUGUUGCGUGUUAAUUAUCUAAUUAAGUUAAUGUUAGGUGGCGUUUGGUUUAGCUUUUUGGGAUAGUUAAUAGCUAUUUUGUUUGCAACAAUGAUCCUAUAUGUUUUGCUAAAAUUUUGUGAAUCACUUGCUUGUAGCUUAUUUUAGUCUCUAUAAGCUGCUUCUUCCAUCAGCUCCAUUUUAGAUAUUUUUCUCAUAUAGUUGAUUUUAUUUUAUUUUUCCUUUAGACUAUCUUAUCCUUUUAAAAUUUAUUAAUUACAAAAUUUUUGUGUUUUUAAAUUAACUUUGUUCUUAUAUCAAUGAAUUAUUUAAAAUUAUAAUAAAUAAUAAAUAAACACAAAAAUAUUACAAUU
RNAcentral lists this unclassified non-coding RNA (582 nucleotides) under Hevea brasiliensis (rubber tree). Lineage: Eukaryota; Viridiplantae; Streptophyta; Magnoliopsida; Malpighiales; Euphorbiaceae. The record is from RNAcentral.